GUCUUAGAGGAGACCGAGCAAGCAAGCAAGGGACAGGGUGUGGGAGGGAAAGGGUGUGGAAGCAACAUGCUGACCAGGGGGCGUGGUGCACACUCAUUAUGCUAAUGGGCAUGUGUGGGGUUGCUGUGAUGUGGGCGCUCUAGGUACCCAGACAGACAGAGAGGUUUACUGGCAGGCGGCUACUUGCUACCAACACCGGGCACAAUGGCUGAAACGCAGGUGGGGUUGCACGGACCAUUCCCGGACCCACAGGUCAGGUCAGGUCCAGAAUCGGACUCUGAUUCAGACUCAGAGGGCCUGGGUACGGGCAGUGCUGGGCCAGGCUCAGGCUCCCUGCCCCACUCGCAGGUCAUCCACAGCGGCCACUUCAUGGUCUCCUCGCCGCACAGCGACUCGGUGCCCCGCCGGCGCCACCAUGGUACUGAGCCGGAGCCAGCUGAUCCCCACACCAUCGACCUGACCCUCACUCGGCUCUUCGAGUGCAUGAGCCUGGCCUACAGUGGGAAGCUGGUGUCUCCAAAAUGGAAGAAUUUCAAGGGUCUGAGGCUGCUUUGCAGGGAUAAAAUCCGCCUCAACAAUGCUAUCUGGAGAGCCUGGUACAUCCAAUAUGUGGAGCGGAGGAAGAGCCCCGUGUGUGGGUUUGUGACCCCCCUGGAGGGCUCCGAGGCGGAAGAGCACCGGAAACCCGAGGCUGUUGUGUUGGAGGGGAACUACUGGAAGCGACGUAUCGAGGUGGUGAUGAAGGAGUAUCACAAGUGGAGGAUUUACUACAAGAAGCGGCUUCGAAAGUCCAGCCGGGAGGGUGAGAUUUCCAGCCCGAAGCAGAAUGAGGGUGUGUGGAAGCCAUCGGAGAAAUGGUGCAACCAGCUAUUCUCCAGCGUUGUGCCCAUGCUGCUGGGGGAUGAGAAUGAGGAGGCCGGAGGGCGGCAGCUCUUUGACUUGGACAGCUUCCUCUCGGACAUCUCAGACACACUCUUCACCAUGACGCAGCCCCCCUGCUCCCACCAGACGCUCCCAGAAGACGCCUACACUGGGAACGCCGACAUGAUCCAGCCAGGCCUGACCCCACUGCAGCCAAAUCUUGACGAUUUUAUGGAAAUCUCAGAUCUCUUCACCGGCCACCGCCCACUGCCUAACCAAAUGCAUCUGAGCUACCAAGAGCAGCCCUGCUUCAUGCCCAUGGCUGACACCCUAUAUGGCAGCAGCAGUGCCCCACCUGCCAGCCAUGCAGACCCACUGAUGGCCUCCAGAGCCCUGUCUGCCAGCUACGUUGAUGCCCCAAUCCCGCCCAAUGUCCACCUACAGUCUAGCAGCAACUGCUCCUCCCGGCUCAGCCUGCCUGGCUCAUUCCUCAGCCCUGAUUUCCAGCCAGCCCCGCAGCCCAUGGACCCCCGCAGCGGCCUGUGCUCUGACCUCAAGCACAAGCCCCCGCUCCAUUAUGGGCUCCCCAGCAAGAGUCUCAGCAUGGAGCCCUUCGCCCCUUCCUACUGCACCCCAGCAGCCCCCCCAGGAGCCUUCCUGCUGGGCCAGGACCCCCUGUACCCACCGGCUUCAGCACCGAGAUCCAAAUUCCAUUACUCCAGCUCCAUUAGUGGCUCUUCACUCUCCACACCAUGCUUUACCCAGCAUGCACCAGGCUUGAGCUACAGCGUGGACCUUCUGCCAACAGCAUACCCUGCUCUGUCCAGUGCCCAGCCCCUGCCCCCAGUGAUGCGGAGCGGCCCCAGGUUUGCCACCCCUAAAGAGCAGUCGCCGCCUGGGGGCAGCAGGCCAAUGGUGAAGCCAGCCAGCCCCAAGACAAAGAGACCCAUGGGACUCCCUGUGCCCACGCGUGUGGCUGUGCCCAACCCCUGCCUGACCCAGCUCCUGACUGCAGCUAAACCAGAGCUGGCCCUGGACCCUCCGUCCACUCCCAGUACCACCCUCAUCCCCACGUCGCCAGCCACCCCGGCAGGGGGCCUUGCUGAAGUCCCCUCUGGCUUCCUGCCCCGCAUGGCCCAGCUGAGUCCAGGGCUGUCUCCUGGCUCCAGCCCUUCGCAGUCUGUCCCCAUCACAUUGGCUGUGGCACAGCCAGGAUCCCUGCUUGUCCCCAAGACGGAGCAGCUCUCCCCCCCGUCGGCCUGUGCCAGUGACUGGCUGAAGCCUGGACGAGUCUCCCCGGUGCCGGUUGGGGUGCUGACUGCCGGGAUCUCACUGCAUCACUCCACCCCCAGCCGGGGUAGGCCGGAGUCCAGCAAGACAGAGAGCCGCCGCAUCACGCACAUCUCCGCUGAGCAGAAGAGACGCUUCAACAUCAAGCUGGGCUUUGACACCCUGCACGGGCUGGUGAGCACUCUAAGUGCCCAGCCCAGCAUCAAGGUCAGCAAGGCCACCACACUGCAGAAGACAGCAGAGUACAUCUGCAAGUUGCAGCAGGAGAGGGGCGCCCUGCAGGACGAGGCGCAGCGGCUGCGGGAGCAGAUCGAGGAGCUCAAUGCAACCAUCAACCUGUGCCAGCAGCAGCUGCCCGCCACAGGAGUGCCCAUCACCCGCCAGCGCUUCGACCAGAUGCGUGACAUGUUUGACGAGUAUGUCCGCUCCUGCACGCUGCAGAAUUGGAAGUUCUGGGUUUUCAGCAUCAUCAUCCGGCCUCUGUUUGAAUCCUUCAAUAGCAUGGUCUCCACAGCCAGCAUGGACAGCCUCAGCCAGACGUCACUAGCCUGGCUGGACCAGUAUUGCUCCCUCCCAGCACUUCGGCCUACUGUCCUGAGCUCCCUCCGCCAGCUGAGCAUUUCCACCUCUAUCCUGACUGACCCAGCAUGCAUACCCGAGCAGGCCACCCAGGCAGUGAUGGGGACAGACCCCAGCAACAACUCCUCCUAGUUACAAGGGAGGAACCCGUCACACCUGGAUGUUCUAGAAUGCAGGAGUUUUCCCAUGAAUGUUGUUUGAUGUCAUGUUGCCAAAGGAAUGUCCUGUUCCUAUAUCCCAUGCAUGCCCUGGCUCUGUUCUCCAGCCCCAGAGCACUCACGGAGUCAGCACCUAUGCAAGGCGGAGAUCCUUUGUCUCUCUGGGUCCCCACCUCUCCUUCUAAAUGGAAAAGCACCAGGUUUAAGAUGGAUUCCAGUAUCAUGUGACAUGGUCACAUGUCACUGUAAGACCUCAUGGAAGGCUUGCAGGUAAAUAAACCCAUUCACAACCAA
This is an RNA transcript of Malaclemys terrapin pileata, 3182 nucleotides long. It is a transcript of the gene named MLX interacting protein like, with no coding region annotated. The record is from RefSeq and is a predicted model, not a curated record. NCBI's taxonomy places the organism in Eukaryota, Metazoa, Chordata, Testudines, Emydidae. The transcript is spliced from 19 exons.